CUAUCUGAUUUGGGGUGACAUGGCACAGGGAAACAAUUAUGGACAGAGCAGCAAUGGGGUGGCUGAUGAAUCACCCAACAUGCUUGUAUACAGAAAGGGCAAUGUGAUAUGAAGUUACCUAUAUGAAGAACACAGAUCCCAGUGCCUAUUCCUCUAUCUCCUAGUUUUGGGCAAGUUACUUACUCUUUCUGGAACCUGUUUUCCUGAUAUAUAUAUAAAAUAAAGGAGUUAAACUAGAUGACUCA
This 245-nucleotide long non-coding RNA is filed under the name Monodelphis domestica (gray short-tailed opossum). Its description in RNAcentral is "lncRNA (ENSMODG00000032238.2)". Lineage: Eukaryota; Metazoa; Chordata; Mammalia; Didelphimorphia; Didelphidae. The record is from RNAcentral.